This 995-nucleotide ribosomal RNA is filed under the name Distoseptispora suae. RNAcentral describes it as "SSU rRNA". It matches the Rfam family "Eukaryotic small subunit ribosomal RNA", at positions 89 to 1094 of the family's 1831-position model. The record is from RNAcentral. Lineage: Eukaryota; Fungi; Ascomycota; Sordariomycetes; Distoseptisporaceae.
GCGAAUGGCUCAUUAAAUCAGUUAUCGUUUAUUUGAUAGUACCUUACUACAUGGAUAACCGUGGUAAUUCUAGAGCUAAUACAUGCUGAAAAUCCCGACUUCGGAAGGGAUGUAUUUAUUAGAUUAAAAACCAAUGCCCUUCGGGGCUCUCUGGUGAUUCAUGAUAACUUCUCGAAUCGCAUGGCCUUGCGCCGGCGAUGGUUCAUUCAAAUUUCUGCCCUAUCAACUUUCGACUGCUGGGUCUUGGCCAGCAAUGGUGACAACGGGUAACGGAGGGUUAGGGCUCGACCCCGGAGAAGGAGCCUGAGAGACGGCUACUACAUCCAAGGAAGGCAGCAGGCGCGCAAAUUACCCAAUCCCGACACGGGGAGGUAGUGACAAUAAAUACUGAUACAGGGCUCUUUUGGGUCUUGUAAUUGGAAUGAGUACAAUUUAAAUCCCUUAACGAGGAACAAUUGGAGGGCAAGUCUGGUGCCAGCAGCCGCGGUAAUUCCAGCUCCAAUAGCGUAUAUUAAAGUUGUUGCAGUUAAAAAGCUCGUAGUUGAACCUUGGGCCUGGCCGGCCGGUCCGCCUCACCGCGUGCACUGGUACGGUCGGGCCUUUCCCUCUGGGGAACCCCAUGCCCUUCACUGGGCGUGUGGGGAAACCAGGACUUUUACUUUGAAAAAAUUAGAGUGUUCAAAGCAGGCCUAUGCUCGAAUACAUUAGCAUGGAAUAAUAGAAUAGGACGUGCGGUUCUAUUUUGUUGGUUUCUAGAACCGCCGUAAUGAUUAAUAGGGACAGUCGGGGGCAUCAGUAUUCAAUUGUCAGAGGUGAAAUUCUUGGAUUUAUUGAAGACUAACUACUGCGAAAGCAUUUGCCAAGGAUGUUUUCAUUAAUCAGGAACGAAAGUUAGGGGAUCGAAGACGAUCAGAUACCGUCGUAGUCUUAACCAUAAACUAUGCCGACUAGGGAUCGGACGAUGUUACUUUUUGACUCGUUCGGCACCUUACACG